AGACAAUUAGGAUUAGGAUUAGGAUUAGGAUGCAGGGAACCAAGCUCUCAAAUAUUGGUCUAUCUGUGUCUUGUUCCUUACUAUUUCCUAUAUAAUUGAAAGAACUAUUUAAGUUGAAAACCACAAUAUUAGCUGAUGUAAAGCAUUUGGCAUGUUGUUUUUUCUAACUCUGCCAAUUGGUGGCCCCUGCUAAUAAUUUAGAAAAAAGGAUAUGUUUACUUUGAUUCAAACAAUUUGGACUUUCUUAAUAUUAAUCUCUAAACCUGUGAAAAUUGGUGUGGCUGUGCUGGUUCCUGGAUGUGUGCUGAACACAUUACAAUUUUUUUAGCCUGGAACUUGUUUUCAUUUCAGAGUUCAGAUCUUAUGUAGUAAAUGAUGUUUACUUAAACUUAGCAGCAAUGGGAAAGAUGUACAAGAAGAAACAAGAUGAGAAACAUGAACCUUGAAGAGGAGGAUUUGGGGAAAAGAUUGAUGGUGGUGGUAGCAGCAGCAGUAAAAAACCAGUUGGAAAACACAAACCUGAGGAGACAGGGAUUUGAAAUUAAGUGAAGGCUGAUUUGGAAAUGGCAUACUUGAUGUGAAGCAUUUGUUGAAGUCAACACCUACAAGCAGAGGUCAUUAUACUCUCCUAAACACAUGUUUUAGAGAAAUAAGUAUCUUAGAUUGCAUGAAAUAUGUCUGACUGUGCCAACUUCAUUAUAGAGGUGAGAUUGACUACCACCAAGCGAGACUGAGGGAGUGAAAUCAUGUGAGCAAUGAUUUUUUUUGUCGAUGGGGGAAAUCAAAACAAUGGCAGACUAGAGAAAUUGCACACGAGAACAUGAUUUAGG
Molecule: long non-coding RNA, 830 nt
Organism: Trifolium pratense (red clover)
Lineage: Eukaryota; Viridiplantae; Streptophyta; Magnoliopsida; Fabales; Fabaceae
Exons: 3
Source: RefSeq, a predicted model, not a curated record